This 76-nucleotide transfer RNA is filed under the name Candidatus Paraburkholderia kirkii UZHbot1. RNAcentral's name for it is "tRNA-Val". It matches the Rfam family "tRNA". From Rfam's summary of the family: Transfer RNA (tRNA) molecules are approximately 80 nucleotides in length. Their secondary structure includes four short double-helical elements and three loops (D, anti-codon, and T loops). Further hydrogen bonds mediate the characteristic L-shaped molecular structure. tRNAs have two regions of fundamental functional importance: the anti-codon, which is responsible for specific mRNA codon recognition, and the 3' end, to which the tRNAs corresponding amino acid is attached (by aminoacyl-tRNA synthetases). tRNAs cope with the degeneracy of the genetic code in two manners: having more than one tRNA (with a specific anti-codon) for a particular amino acid; and 'wobble' base-pairing, i.e. permitting non-standard base-pairing at the 3rd anti-codon position. The record is from RNAcentral. Lineage: Bacteria; Pseudomonadati; Pseudomonadota; Betaproteobacteria; Burkholderiales; Burkholderiaceae.
GGGUGCUUAGCUCAGUUGGUAGAGCGGCGCCCUUACAAGGCGUAGGUCGGGAGUUCGAGCCUCUCAGCACCCACCC